AAAUUAAUUACUUCUACCUGCAUAAAAUACGUAAAGAUGUUACAGAGAAACUUGUUGAUCUUUUUAUCCAAGAAUGGAACACUCAUUACAAACAAUCCCUCGGAGAAUGGGAAAAUACAAACAAGUUAAAAUACUCCUGUCUUUGAGAAAACGUACAAGGAGAUAGAAGAAGAGGAAAUGAAUUUGUAGCUCAUUUUCAAUGAAGAAGAAAAUCAAUUUCUCUUUUCAUUUUAGGUAUGUCUUCUUUAUACUAAAACUGAUUAGAAACAGUUGUAUUGUAGAUUUCUUUUAACAAAGGUUCAAAUAACAACAGUUGUAUGUUUAUAAAA
Long non-coding RNA from Xenia sp. Carnegie-2017, 329 nucleotides. RefSeq lists it as uncharacterized. The record is from RefSeq and is a predicted model, not a curated record. Lineage: Eukaryota; Metazoa; Cnidaria; Anthozoa; Malacalcyonacea; Xeniidae. The transcript is spliced from 2 exons.